AUUGACUACGCAGCGACAUUAAGGUGGUUUUCCCGCAAAACCGAAUAAAAAAACAGUGCAGGAGUUAUUUCCCCUAUCUAGAUCAGAAUGUGUAAUGGCGGGCGACUUUUGACGUUGCAGACACAGUAACAAAUGUAGCAAUAGGUAAGGUACGCGUAUCGCAUGAAUAAUGAAAUAUAUGGCAUAUGGUGUCUUUUUUAAUAUUAUAAUGUAUUUUCACAUCAAGAAAUGGAAAUAAUUUGAGUGAAAGCUGUAUUUAUCAAAAGAAAAGUAGCAAGCGGAGUUUAAGCUCCGCCCACCUGUUUACCUUAUUUGGAAAUUCAAUGUAGUUGCGAAGCUUGCAGUUUGCAAGUUGGUUAAUUGAAAAUAACUAAAGUAGCCGUGCACUUGUCAGUUGAGAUUAUAACGACCUGGUUGAAGAAACUGAUGAGAACAAAUGGAAAAUUUAUUCAAUAUGAUCCAAUGUCAGGACAAAACACGACUUAGGUGUAAUUUAUCGCUUUCAGGUAUUACAAUCUAGAGAUAUAUACUAAAAUGCAGAGGGAAUGGCUUGUGCACUAAGAGAUCAGAUAAUAAGGUUCCACUAAAGUCAAAAUAUAGGACACUUCAUAAACAUCUAAACUUUGCCUGUAUCAGAGGCGGAUUUAGGGGGGGGCAGGGGGCCCGGGCCCCCCCUUUUUGAGAAAAAAUUGGUUGCUUAUAUAGGGAAUCAUUGAAGCGUGACUGAAGCGGGCCCCCUCUUAGGUCAGUCAGUGGGCCCCCACUUAUGAAAAUUCCUGGAUCCGCCACUGUGUAUUUUUUCAACCUAUAAUGAAUAAAGUCAUAAACUAUGAGAACAUAUGUUCGGUGUCUUUCGUAUUAAAAUGUGUCAAAGAGACAGCAACCCAACCAUAGAACAGACAAUAGCAGAAGGUCACCAACUUGUUUUCGUGUUCAGACGUUUUAUCUUCUAUGUUUCGUGUUUAGUAGGAUGACUUGAUGUGUGCUUCAUGUUUCCCCUUAUUUAUUUUCCAUGUUUCCUGUCAUACUCUUUAACUUCUCGUGCUUUUGACAUACAUCAUGUACAUGACAUAUUAUUUUUAUACAGUAUAUAUAAUAAUUAUAAUCAGUAUUAAAAUUGAAUAGUCACUGCAUCCACUUUCCCUCUAAAAUUAGAGUACAUGGAUGAUAUCAAAUAUCUGAACUGUGUCCCUGUUCAGUGUUCAGCUAUAUACAUGUAUAUCCCCAGUAAACAGAAUCGAGCCAUAAUGGUAUUUUUAAAAUUUUCAUUGCGAGACCUCAUGUCCAAGAGGCAGGAAAAAAAACCACUUGUAAUAAAGCUGUGUAUUCUGUUAUAACAGACAAUUGUGUACAAGCAUGAACGGAUGCAAAUCAUAUCAUUUAUUAAAUGGAAAAGGCCACAGCCUGUUUAGAAACGGUCAAUUUUGACGGUAUAUUAAAGUCAGUCUGUCUGUCUGUUCCAGAAUUGAAUAUUUUUCGUCGCAUCUUUCUCAGGAAAAUAACAUGGACUUCUUAAAUUUGGUUUGAGGGUUUAUAUGAGUCAGCAAUACCGUGUGAUGCUUUUUCAUAUUCAUCACUCAACAAAUUCCUGUGUACCUUAAAAUUCUUAAAGUGUAUGGGGGUAUCAAAAGUGAUCAGUAGCUCACAGAUUCACUUGUUUGUUUUAUAGUAUUUUAUAUUUUUUGUGGGGGAGGGGGCUGGCUAUUGUGAGCAGUGUUCUCAGCACUUCUAGUUAAUCAUAAAAAUUACAUUAAGACGAGCAAAAAUUAGCAACAUGCAUAUCCUGGGUUCAUUUAAUUUGCAUUAAUAUAAACAUUGUCAUUAAAACAUUUAAUCCCGCUGCAAAUGUUUUGCACCUGUUCUAAGUCAGGAAUCUGAUGUACAGUAGUUGUCGUUUGUUUAUGUAAUUUAUAAGUGUCUCUCGUUUCUUGUUUUUUAUAUAGAUUAGACCGUUUGUUUUCCUGUUUGAAUGGUUUUACACUUGUAAUUUUGGGGCCCUAUAUAGCUUGUUUAUUGAUGUGAGCCAAGGCUCCGUGUUGAAGGCCAUACAUUGACCUACAUGUAUAAUGGUUUACUUUUAUAAAUUGUUAUUUGGAUGGACAUGAUAGAGAGUUGUCUCAUUGGCACUCACACCACAUCUUCCUACAUUGUAUUUCUAUUGUAUGGCAAAAGUGAUUUCUUUAUUUUAAAAAAAUAUAUGAUUCAUUAUCAUGAUUAUACAUGUUACGAUGUAUACACAGGUUCAUACUAUUUUUGACAUACAUGACAUAUAGCUCUGUAAUUUUAUUCACUACUUGUACAUCUUUGGAUUUUAAAUGUUUGGCUUUGAGCGUUCCUGAUGAAGGUAAAUCCAGACUCAGCCAGAAAAGUGCUAUGGACGCAUGAAAUUAUUGAACCUGCUGUUUUCAAUUUUUCAUGCUCCUUUAUUUUAAAAAAAAAGUAUAUAAUUACAUUCUCUUUUUUUUUAAGGUCACCUGACAAUAACAGGAUUGAGGUUACAGUAUGCCAUUCAAGCUGUGAUGAAAUAUAAAGUAAUGGUUUGAAUUUGGAGAGCUUCAUUACAUGUAUUAUAGACAGGUAAAUUGUUUUAUCCUGCAAUUAUCUACAUGAUCUAACUAUUGUACAUGUAAAUGGGACGAAAACUCACCUGAAGGGUCCACAAGUUAAACAGAAAUUAAAAACUAUAUAUAUGUCAUCAUUUAGGCCUUAUGGCCUUCAACAAUGAGAAAAACACAUUCUGCCACAAUGUCUUCUAUGUACAUUUUACAUAGUGCGCCUUAUUAAAAUGUGUUUGGAAAAUUUAUUUUUUGUUCAAAUGUUGAAUGAAGACAUUACUACUGGUAAAAAAGGACGAGAAUUAUUUUGUUAGCAUUUUAACAGUACUUUUUGAAGAAGUAUGUUUGCACUAACUUUUGAUUACUUUUCUCAUAUUGAAAAUUUCAUUUGAUAUAUACAUUGUACUUGUAUUAUAUUUGCAUUUUCAUAUUUCAGGGAUGAAGACCUGCAGUCAGACACCAGUUAAAAGUUACUUAUAACUCAUCAUGGCCAUUAUGGAAGAUCUGAUUAAAAUUUGUCUAGAAAGCCACCAAAUAUGUCCAUGAAAAAUAGAAAAAUGACAGCAAUUCUACAUAAUGCACCGUACUAAGUAGAAGCAUUGACUGUUUCAAAACCAAAUGAAUUGGAAUUUAGUGUAUUGAUGCUGAAAUAGAGAGGAAUAUUAUUAAUUGGACAAUUUAACUUCUUUUUCAUCAUUAUUGAAGUUGAUGUAUACCAUCUUAAAGAGUUUUUACUUGACACAUGUGACAGUUAAAAGGAAUACCAAAUAUACAUAAUAAAGGCCGUUUGGAGAUUUGUGAAUAGUCUUAAAAUAGGAGUUUCAAAAAGGAUUUCAGUUAAAAUAUUGUAUUUCACGGAUGUCAGAAAUGUAAUUUUAUGUCUCUUUCAUGAAAUGUUUUAAAAAAUCUGCAAUAUCUAACCAAGACGAGUGAGAGAUCUACAGAUAGACAUAUGAUAUUCAGUUGAACUGUAAACAUGGUAAAGGGGA
RNAcentral lists this long non-coding RNA (3544 nucleotides) under Mytilus galloprovincialis (Mediterranean mussel). The record is from RNAcentral. Lineage: Eukaryota; Metazoa; Mollusca; Bivalvia; Mytilida; Mytilidae.